This 1489-nucleotide ribosomal RNA is filed under the name Lactiplantibacillus plantarum. RNAcentral's name for it is "bacterial SSU rRNA". It matches the Rfam family "Bacterial small subunit ribosomal RNA". Lineage: Bacteria; Bacillati; Bacillota; Bacilli; Lactobacillales; Lactobacillaceae. The record is from RNAcentral.
GACGAACGCUGGCGGCGUGCCUAAUACAUGCAAGUCGAACGAACUCUGGUAUUGAUUGGUGCUUGCAUCAUGAUUUACAUUUGAGUGAGUGGCGAACUGGUGAGUAACACGUGGGAAACCUGCCCAGAAGCGGGGGAUAACACCUGGAAACAGAUGCUAAUACCGCAUAACAACUUGGACCGCAUGGUCCGAGCUUGAAAGAUGGCUUCGGCUAUCACUUUUGGAUGGUCCCGCGGCGUAUUAGCUAGAUGGUGGGGUAACGGCUCACCAUGGCAAUGAUACGUAGCCGACCUGAGAGGGUAAUCGGCCACAUUGGGACUGAGACACGGCCCAAACUCCUACGGGAGGCAGCAGUAGGGAAUCUUCCACAAUGGACGAAAGUCUGAUGGAGCAACGCCGCGUGAGUGAAGAAGGGUUUCGGCUCGUAAAACUCUGUUGUUAAAGAAGAACAUAUCUGAGAGUAACUGUUCAGGUAUUGACGGUAUUUAACCAGAAAGCCACGGCUAACUACGUGCCAGCAGCCGCGGUAAUACGUAGGUGGCAAGCGUUGUCCGGAUUUAUUGGGCGUAAAGCGAGCGCAGGCGGUUUUUUAAGUCUGAUGUGAAAGCCUUCGGCUCAACCGAAGAAGUGCAUCGGAAACUGGGAAACUUGAGUGCAGAAGAGGACAGUGGAACUCCAUGUGUAGCGGUGAAAUGCGUAGAUAUAUGGAAGAACACCAGUGGCGAAGGCGGCUGUCUGGUCUGUAACUGACGCUGAGGCUCGAAAGUAUGGGUAGCAAACAGGAUUAGAUACCCUGGUAGUCCAUACCGUAAACGAUGAAUGCUAAGUGUUGGAGGGUUUCCGCCCUUCAGUGCUGCAGCUAACGCAUUAAGCAUUCCGCCUGGGGAGUACGGCCGCAAGGCUGAAACUCAAAGGAAUUGACGGGGGCCCGCACAAGCGGUGGAGCAUGUGGUUUAAUUCGAAGCUACGCGAAGAACCUUACCAGGUCUUGACAUACUAUGCAAAUCUAAGAGAUUAGACGUUCCCUUCGGGGACAUGGAUACAGGUGGUGCAUGGUUGUCGUCAGCUCGUGUCGUGAGAUGUUGGGUUAAGUCCCGCAACGAGCGCAACCCUUAUUAUCAGUUGCCAGCAUUAAGUUGGGCACUCUGGUGAGACUGCCGGUGACAAACCGGAGGAAGGUGGGGAUGACGUCAAAUCAUCAUGCCCCUUAUGACCUGGGCUACACACGUGCUACAAUGGAUGGUACAACGAGUUGCGAACUCGCGAGAGUAAGCUAAUCUCUUAAAGCCAUUCUCAGUUCGGAUUGUAGGCUGCAACUCGCCUACAUGAAGUCGGAAUCGCCAGUAAUCGCGGAUCAGCAUGCCGCGGUGAAUACGUUCCCGGGCCUUGUACACACCGCCCGUCACACCAUGAGAGUUUGUAACACCCAAAGUCGGUGGGGUAACCUUUUAGGAACCAGCCGCCUAAGGUGGGACAGAUGAUUAGGGUG